AGAGUUUGAUCAUGGCUCAGGAUGAACGCUGGCGGUAUGCCUAACACAUGCAAGUCGAACGAUGUCUUCGGACAUAGUGGCGGACGGGUGAGUAACGCGUGAGAAUCUGCCUCUAGGAUGGGGAUAACGGUUGGAAACGACCGCUAACACCCAAUAUGCCGUAAGGUGAAAAAUUUAUUGCCUGGAGAGGAGCUCGCGUCUGAUUAGCUAGUUGGUGGGGUAAGAGCUCACCAAGGCUUCGAUCAGUAGCUGGUCUGAGAGGAUGAGCAGCCACACUGGGACUGAGACACGGCCCAGACUCCUACGGGAGGCAGCAGUGGGGAAUUUUCCGCAAUGGGCGAAAGCCUGACGGAGCAACACCGCGUGAGGGAGGAAUGCCUUUGGGUUGUAAACCUCUUUUCUCAGGGAAGAAGAUCUGACGGUACCUGAGGAAUAAGUAUCGGCUAACUCCGUGCCAGCAGCCGCGGUAAUACGGAGGAUGCAAGCGUUAUCCGGAAUCAUUGGGCGUAAAGCGUCCGCAGGUGGUUUCCAAAGUCUGCUGUUAAAGACUGGAGCUCAACUCCGGAACGGCGGUGGAAACUUGGAAACUAGAGUUCGGUAGGGGUAGCAGGAAUUCCCAGUGUAGCGGUGAAAUGCGUAGAUAUUGGGAAGAACAUCGGUGGCGAAGGCGUGCUACUGGACCGUAACUGACACUCAGGGACGAAAGCUAGGGGAGCGAAAGGGAUUAGAUACCCCUGUAGUCCUAGCUGUAAACGAUGGAAACUAGGUGUGGCUUGUAUCGACCC
Molecule: ribosomal RNA, 785 nt
Filed under: uncultured marine microorganism
Description: bacterial SSU rRNA
Rfam family: Bacterial small subunit ribosomal RNA
Source: RNAcentral